CGGGUUGUAAAGUACUUUCAGCAGUGAGGAAGGUGGGUAUGUUAAUAGCAUACUCAUUUUGACGUUUAGCUGCAGAAGAAGCACCGGCUAACUCCGUGCCAGCAGCCGCGGUAAUACGGAGGGUGCGAGCGUUAAUCGGAAUUACUGGGCGUAAAGCGCAUGCAGGUGGUUUGUUAAGUCAGAUGUGAAAGCCCGGGGCUCAACCUCGGAAUUGCAUUUGAAACUGGCAAACUAGAGUACUGUAGAGGGGGUAGAAUUUCAGGUGUAGCGGUGAAAUGCGUAGAGAUCUGAAGGAAUACCGGUGGCGAAGGCGGCCCCCUGGACAGAUACUGACACUCAGAUGCGAAAGCGUGGGGAGCAAACAGGAUUAGAUACCCUCGGUAG
RNAcentral lists this ribosomal RNA (384 nucleotides) under uncultured bacterium. RNAcentral's name for it is "bacterial SSU rRNA". It matches the Rfam family "Bacterial small subunit ribosomal RNA", at positions 419 to 793 of the family's 1533-position model. The record is from RNAcentral.